AAAAAACGAGUCAAUUUAUGGGGACGAAAAGAAUAUUUUAUCUAAAAUUUUGAAUUUGUGUUAAUAUGUUCAUCCUUAACCAUUAUAUAAAUCCUGAAUUUUUUCAAACUCAUAAAUGUUCCUUGUUUAUUCCUUGUUUUCCCUUUUCAUAAAAAUGAUUUUUCACACUUCUAUCAAGACCAAAGACUAUCAUUAUACAAUAAAAAUUCACCACCAUAAAAGCAACCCAACCUUCAUAUAGACAACCCAAAAUUAAGGUGCAAAGGACGAACAUACAUUACAAAUGAAGGACACUUCAACACUUGUUUAUGGUAAAACAAAAUCUCUUAUUGCUUCUAACAACAAAUCCAAUAAUCAAAUAGAUCCAACUUUAACAACAUGUCUAAUAAUCAAAUAGAUCCAACUUUAACAACAUGUCUAAUAAUCAAAUAGAUCCAACUUUAACAACAUGUCUAAUAAUCAAAUAGAUCCAAUCUUAACAACAGAUCCAAAAAAAAAAAUCCUCUUGUUAAUUCUAACAAUAAA
RNAcentral lists this long non-coding RNA (525 nucleotides) under Lathyrus oleraceus (garden pea). Its description in RNAcentral is "Pisum sativum (pea) long non-coding RNA (PSAT_LNC038400)". Lineage: Eukaryota; Viridiplantae; Streptophyta; Magnoliopsida; Fabales; Fabaceae. The record is from RNAcentral.